RNAcentral lists this non-coding RNA (86 nucleotides) under Anaerobacillus isosaccharinicus. RNAcentral describes it as "Anaerobacillus sp. NB2006 c-di-GMP-I riboswitch aptamer". It matches the Rfam family "c-di-GMP-I riboswitch aptamer". Rfam says of the family: GEMM was predicted in a large-scale screen for bacterial structured RNA regulatory elements. Genes associated with GEMM are involved in a diverse array of functions, including chemotaxis regulation, signal transduction, secretion and chitin. The record is from Rfam by way of RNAcentral. RNAcentral also lists the same sequence under 1 other name. Lineage: Bacteria; Bacillati; Bacillota; Bacilli; Caryophanales; Bacillaceae.
GGUACGAACAGGCAAAACCAUUGAAAAGUGGUGACGCAAAACUAGAGGGGCUACUAUGAACAUCAUUAUGCCAGCCAGUUUCCGAA